AUACUCUGGUUUCUCUUCAGAUUAUAUAAAUCUUUUGCCUUUUACUAAAGAUUUCCAUGGUGAGGAACAUUUAUGAGUUUGUACUCAAUUUUUUGAGGCUUCACUCCGGUGAAGCU
RNAcentral lists this small nuclear RNA (116 nucleotides) under Pelodiscus sinensis (Chinese soft-shelled turtle). RNAcentral describes it as "U5 spliceosomal RNA (ENSPSIG00000019837.1)". It matches the Rfam family "U5 spliceosomal RNA". From Rfam's summary of the family: U5 RNA is a component of both types of known spliceosome. The precise function of this molecule is unknown, though it is known that the 5' loop is required for splice site selection and p220 binding, and that both the 3' stem-loop and the Sm site are important for Sm protein binding and cap methylation. Lineage: Eukaryota; Metazoa; Chordata; Testudines; Trionychidae. The record is from Rfam by way of RNAcentral.